UGAAGAUAAGAUGGAUUAGCGGCGGACGGGUGAGUAACACGUGAGUAACCUGCCUUAGACAUUGGGAUAGCCUCGGGAAACCGGGAUUAAUACCAAAUGAAAUCACAUAUGCACAUGCAUAAAUGAUCAAAGCUCCGGCGGUCUAAGAUGGACUCGCGUCCCAUUAGCUAGUUGGUGAGGUAACGGCCCACCAAGGCGACGAUGGGUAGCCGGCCUGAGAGGGUGAACGGCCACAUUGGAACUGAGAAACGGUCCAAACUCCUACGGGAGGCAGCAGUGGGGAAUAUUGCACAAUGGAGGGAACUCUGAUGCAGCGACGCCGCGUGAACGAAGAAGGCUUUCGAGUCGUAAAGUUCUUUUAUAUGGGAAGAUAAUGACGGUACCAUAAGAAAAAGCCCCGGCUAACUACGUGCCAGCAGCCGCGGUAAUACGUAGGGGGCUAGCGUUGUCCGGAAUCACUGGGCGUAAAGGGUUCGCAGGCGGAAAUGCAAGUCAGAUGUAAAAGGCAGUAGCUUAACUACUGUAAGCAUUUGAAACUGCAUAUCUUGAGAAGAGUAGAGGUAAGUGGAAUUUUUAGUGUAGCGGUGAAAUGCGUAGAUAUUAAAAAGAAUACCGGUGGCGAAGGCGACUUACUGGGCUCAUUCUGACGCUGAGGAACGAAAGCGUGGGUAGCAAACAGGAUUAGAUACCCUGGUAGUCCACGCUGUAAACGAUGAGUGCUAGGUAUCGGAAUAAUUCGGUGCCGCAGUUAACACAUUAAGCACUCCGCCUGGGGAGUACGUGCGCAAGC
Molecule: ribosomal RNA, 790 nt
Filed under: uncultured Clostridia bacterium
Lineage: Bacteria; Bacillati; Bacillota; Clostridia
Description: bacterial SSU rRNA
Rfam family: Bacterial small subunit ribosomal RNA
Source: RNAcentral